CCUACGGGUGGCAGCAGUGGGGAAUAUUGGACAAUGGGGGGAACCCUGAUCCAGCGACGCCGCGUGAGUGAAGAAGUAUUUCGGUAUGUAAAGCUCUAUCAGCAGGGAAGAAAGAAAUGACGGUACCUGACUAAGAAGCCCCGGCUAACUACGUGCCAGCAGCCGCGGUAAUACGUAGGGGGCAAGCGUUAUCCGGAGUUACUGGGUGUAAAGGGAGCGUAGACGGCGAUGCAAGUCUGAAGUGAAAGGCGGGGGCACAACCCCCGGACUGCUUUGGAAACUGUAUGGCUGGAGUACAGGAGAGGUAAGCGGAAUUCCUAGUGUAGCGGUGAAAUGCGUAGAUAUUAGGAGGAACACCAGUGGCGAAGGCGGCUUACUGGACUGUAACUGACGUUGAGGCUCGAAAGCGUGGGGAGCAAACAGGAUUAGAUACCCUAGUAGUC
This 443-nucleotide ribosomal RNA is filed under the name uncultured bacterium. RNAcentral's name for it is "partial 16S ribosomal RNA". It matches the Rfam family "Bacterial small subunit ribosomal RNA", at positions 338 to 795 of the family's 1533-position model. The record is from RNAcentral.